CCAAAUAGUGAUAGUACGUUAAAAUCAUCAGUUCCCGAUGGUUCACUGGAGUUAAGCAAAGUUCCGUGUAGUUGGUAUCCGGAUGGAUGACCAUCUGGGUAAUCGCGUGCUGCUGGUU
RNAcentral lists this ribosomal RNA (118 nucleotides) under Diaphorina citri (Asian citrus psyllid). Lineage: Eukaryota; Metazoa; Arthropoda; Insecta; Hemiptera; Psyllidae. The record is from RNAcentral.